UACGUAGGGUGCAAGCGUCGUCCGGAAUUAUUUGGGCGUAAAGAGCUCGUAGGCGGUUUGUCGCGUCUGCUGUGAAAGCCCGGGGCUCAACCCCGGGUCUGCAGUGGGUACGGGCAGACUAGAGUGCAGUAGGGGAGACUGGAAUUCCUGGUGUAGCGGUGAAAUGCGCAGAUAUCAGGAGGAACACCGAUGGCGAAGGCAGGUCUCUGGGCCGAUACUGACGUGAGGAGCGAAAGCGUGGGGAGCGAACAGG
This 253-nucleotide ribosomal RNA is filed under the name uncultured bacterium. RNAcentral describes it as "partial 16S ribosomal RNA". It matches the Rfam family "Bacterial small subunit ribosomal RNA", at positions 524 to 776 of the family's 1533-position model. The record is from RNAcentral.